CAGUCGCCGCGGGAAUACGAAGGGCGCAAGCGUUAAUCGGAAUUACUGGGCGUAAAGCGUGCGUAGGCGGUUUGUUAAGUCUGUUGUGAAAUCCCCGGGCUCAACCUGGGAAUGGCAAUGGAUACUGGCAAGCUAGAGUGUGUCAGAGGAUGGUGGAAUUCCCGGUGUAGCGGUGAAAUGCGUAGAGAUCUGGAGGAACAUCAGUGGCGAAGGCGGCCAUCUGGGACAACACUGUCGCUGAGGCACGAAAGCGUGGGGAGCAAACAGGAUUAGAUACCCGCGUAGUCCCUGUCUCUUAUAC
RNAcentral lists this ribosomal RNA (301 nucleotides) under uncultured bacterium. RNAcentral describes it as "partial 16S ribosomal RNA". It matches the Rfam family "Bacterial small subunit ribosomal RNA", at positions 509 to 807 of the family's 1533-position model. The record is from RNAcentral.